This is a long non-coding RNA of Oncorhynchus nerka (sockeye salmon), 1009 nucleotides long. RefSeq lists it as uncharacterized. The transcript has 3 exons. Lineage: Eukaryota; Metazoa; Chordata; Actinopteri; Salmoniformes; Salmonidae. The record is from RefSeq and is a predicted model, not a curated record.
AUAGUAUCCCCGUUGAAUGAACUCACUUGCUUGGAUGCCAGUGUGUGAGCAAGACACAUUUGACAUUUGCAGAGGAUUUCAGAGGUAUAAUGACAUAAUAUAUCGUCGCUGUCACGUGGUCAGCCCCUUUGUGCCUCGUAUCCUGGUCAACAUGGCUGCAGGUCAUGUCAGCAUUAAGCACAAUCUAAAAGGCCCCAACCACUCCGUGUCCACCGCCUGCACAACUGGAGACCAUGCCCACGGAGACGCUGUCUAGUGGUUGGGACAGAAGCCUGUGUGGGACCUCUGUCAAUUGCGGGGUUUGCGAGGGCGAGGGCUUUGGAUACCCAUUGGAACGACCAGCCCAGGCUGGCAUCACGGCCCUUACACCCAGAGAGGGGUGGGUUUGUGAUGGGUGAAGGGUCUGCGGUGGUGUUCCUGGAGGAGUGGGAGCAUGCUGUGAGGAGGGGGGCCAGGGUGUAUGCUGAGGUGCUGGGGUAUGGCCUGUCAAGGGAUGCCAGCCACAUCACAGCCCCCACUGCUGACGGAGAUGGAGCCAUCGGGUAAUAGUCAUGGAUGGGGUUUAUAGCACUCUUUCACCAGGUGCAUACUAUUUGUGUUAAGGAAUCAUUGAGAUGUACUGUAGCCAGUACCAUUAUCAAAAUCUAUCAACUUGAUGACAUAAAACAUUUAAAAAUCUUAGGCCUAUUUUAAAACUUUUUUAAAUGAUUUUUUAAAAUGAAAUUGUGAACAUAUUUGAAGUCAUAGCAUUUUUACAGUCCACUUUCAUUCUCCUAAUGUGUCGCUGUGUUUCACCAGUGUCUGAAAAGCUGGUCUGAAGGAUUCACUUCUUACUGGUUUUGUAUGGGAUGUGAUUUCGCAACAGAUCCUUUAUAAGAUUCCUAGUAUUUCAGUUUCAAUAUGUUCUCAAUAUUAUAUUGGGACAUGUAACAGUAAAUCAUUUGCAUGAAAUUAUGAUCGAUGUUUGCAUUUUGCUCAUUAAAAUACAGAUAUACUUUGUGUACUUGAA